CUGUGUGCUUGCAAUGCAUAAGCUGGGACAGGAGAUGGUCGCAGCCCUGAGCUCAGAAAGGGACAUUCCAGGGGGCAGGAAUCUGGCUGUGGCAUAUCCUCCAUGUUUCUCUCUGCUACCUUUCCACCCCCAACUCCUUUAUUUUCAGGCGGUCACCUGUGACCAGGAGAAAUUGCACCAUGGAUAAAAGAGCAACCUGUACUUGGACAUUUGUGAGUACAGUAGGUUUAACCCUGAACUGCCCCAGGCACCUGCAUCUCUCCCUAAAGCCAGUACAGCUUGACUGGGAUUCAGUCAACCCUUGAAUUCAGCUUUGAUUGCUGAAGGUGGGAAUAACCUCCCCAAGCCACCAUGUCCAAUACCAUGUCCACAAGACACUUCAUGUUAUCUCUGCUGUAGUGGAGUGGAUUGGCCUCUGAAGAUCUCUGCCCUCAGAUGUAACUUGCAGAGAGCUAAACCAGACCAAGGUGGUCCCUUCUUUUGGCUUCUCCAAUUUAUUAAGUCCUUUAUCUUAAGGAGCUUGACAGAGCUCAGACAAAGACCAAGACAGAGCCUGCAAGUGUUACUAUUUGAUAUAACAUAAAUGAGUAAAAAACUGAUUGUUCUUCUGGUGUAAAACGCUCCCCUGAAAGACUGCUUGCUGCUGUGCUCUUAUGCUAGCAUCCUUCAUGGCAGACAAGGAAAUGCAGGUUGGCAGCUCCAGCUUCCCUAGAGCUCACUGUUGUUACGCAAGUCUGACGUCCUUUGACUAAAGGCCAGCCUGGUCUUUUCCUGGGGUUUUCCCACUACAAGGGGAGCAAACAUCUUCCUUGUAAUAAUAUCUUCUUAAUGCUUUUCAUGCUGUUUGUUCAUGUUAUUUCUCUAUGGCGUGUUUAUAGAACACAGCUCAGGGCUGUGGAAUCCUUCAAGAGCCAGCACUCAGUAGAAGUGCUUGGUUUGGUGGAAAAAUCUUUACUGCUGCAUAUAAAAACAAUUGCCCAGGAUCAAGUAGGCUGUAAAUGGAUUGAAGUAUGGGAUCAAAGCCCUAUAAGAGAAUCAGGAUCUUGCUUGUCAUUCUCUGGUCUAAACCGGCAAUAGCUUUGUGUUCUCUCCUACAUGCCAGGGUACCACAAGAGCUGACUGUUCCCAAAAGGAUGGGGAGCCCAACAUGAUGGCACAGAUGGCAGGACUUGUCCAUCGCUGUCUCCAUACAAGAUCUCUGGAAAAUACACGGGAAGCAGGGUGAAUGUUAUCAGCCGCUCUAUUUGCAAGCGUGUCUUCAUAAGGAAUGAUUAACACACAUCUUUCUGCCUUCCCUUCCUGAAGCCCUUCAAGAAUAUCACAGCUCCCAAGGUUGCACAGAGUUGUUGGUAAUCCUGUUAACCUUUGAGUUAAUUAAGCAAACAGGAAUCCUUCAUUAGGAGGAACAGCACUAAUUGCAUAUCCCAGAGGGUGACUUUUGCAUGGGCCGCUGGCUGUCAGAGCAGAAACCAGUGCUGACUUCAGCAAGGGGGCUGGGGAGUUAAUGGUGAUUUGCUUGAGAGAGGAGGUCAAGAAAACCUGCUUCUUCAUCAGUGCUGGACCGGUUUGUGUUUGCUGGAGGGGGGGAUGUGAAUGGAGAAGAUGCAGGGCAGUGGCACUGUCCUGCAGAGAUGCUGUGCAAGGCAGAAAGGGUCGAGCUGCUGGUACUUGGCUUUCGAGCUGACCUUAGUUUCCAAUCUAAAAAUGCGAUUCUUUAAGAGCAUGACAUGGUAAGCAGCUCUGGACAAGGGGCUACAGUGUGCAGCUGUGCUUAGUGCUCCAUGCCAGGAAGAGCUCCUAAAAAUGGACAGAGAGCUCUUUGUUUGCUGUGUGUGGUUUAGAAAUUAAGCAAUACUUAGGAGCAAAUAUUGGUUCAAACAAUAUCAGCUCCCACUCUCCAGUGGCCAGGUCAGCUCAUCUCAGGUAGAAAACAGUGUAUUGCAACACAGUCAAAACCUGACACCAAGUAUUUCUCCUAACCAGCAGGGAAACUGGUUUAUGGCAUUCCUUGAAAAAAUAAACUAACCUCAAUGACUGGAGUUUGAGCACAGCCUCAAAAUUGACCUGUAGGUACAAUCAGGGGCUGAAAACCUGUUUCUGGAAGGACUGGAACAGCUCUCCAGGGAUCUCUCAGGCCCUGGGAGCCAUGGAGAAUGCAGAGCUGGUCCCAGUUCCUCUGUCAGCCAUGAACAUGGUUGCAGAGCUGGACUCCCAUGGUGCAUCUUACUGCUGCUCCAAGCCCCGUGCCAACCCAGGCUCCAGAGGACAAUGACCCCUCUUCCAGGAGAGAGCCGGCACUGGGCUGGGAAUUCCCUUAGAUCCUUACACUUGCCAGUACUUUUUAUCCUUAAUAUCUCAAGGUGAGCUGGGUCUCAUCACACGUCUGCCAGCCUGGUGACACCUGGGAACAUCAGUGUUAUCUCCAAAGGCCUCCAUUGCUGGAUAGGAGCACCUCUACAGAAGUAACUGCUCCAAAAAGUCAGGUGAGAUGCUUGUGUUGGGGUGGUGCCUUGACUGAAGCUUUCUCUCUCCUCAGUUAAUGUUUUCCUCACAUGCAGACACAACCAGAGCUUGGGUCCAGCCUCCUUUCAGCUGCGUUGGCUCCAGGAUGAGCUCUGCAUGGGGAGCAGCUAGCUCCAUGCUAAAGCCAAGCCUUCUCACAGACGAAUUGUUGUGCCACCUCUAACUUUAUCCCAGCCCAAUUACAACAAAUGUCCUUUCCUUAGGACACAACCAAAACUCCAGUCCAGCCUUGUCUCAACCACAAACCACAGUGUGCACAUAAAGGGUUGUAGUAAUAAGGGAGAUGUAGAAACGAGCAGUAUUAUUUUACCUUCAAUUUUACUUAGGAUUGGGCUGAGCCCUGUUAUUUCCUGGGGGUUUGGAUGUGUUUAUCACCACCACCAAUGACCCAUGGCUGGCCAGAGGGUGUGCUAAUUUGUAUUUCUCCAUCAUCUGUGUCAUUUUUAGCAGCAUCCUCUUUCUGAAAACAGAACAGCCAGGAUCCAAAGUGUUGCAAUACAACAAACUUGUGAUGUGUAAUAAUAGUUCAGCUUGUUUCAUGAAGAUGUGCUGUAGAAGUCUUGAUGCUUUCUGGAUAACAAGGGCAAAAUCUGAGAGGCACUGGCUUAGUUCUGUCCUUUCUGGUAAAGCUGCUCCUGCUUUCAAGAGCCAGAGCAUUGAUGUCUUAUUUUUGAAAGACAACAAGAAUGUCUGUCAUUAGUAAGAAUUGGCCCUUGCUGUUCAAUCUCAGUUUAGCCAGAUACAUGCAUUUGAUCAUGGAAGGAGCUCUCUUUUUCACAAAACCAUGCACCCAGGUAGUGAGGUAUGGUUCUAGCUAGAGCUUGUAGAAGCAUGUGUGUAUUUAGUGAGAGAGAGGACCUGCUGUGUGAAUAGAAGUGUAUUUUUUAACACAAUGCAGGCUGCUUCCAGCCAACCUUAGCCAAGAGCCUGGUAUGGGCAAGCCCAUGGAUCUGCUGCAUGGAGAGUGCGGGCUAUGGGAGAGGAUAGACCUGUGCAGGAGAUCCAGAAGAUCACAAAAGGAGGCUGGUGCUCUUGAAAGCCAACCUGGGAGCUGGACUUCACUGCUGGGCUUCCUACAGCACCCUUGUAGCUUGUGCU
Long non-coding RNA from Pezoporus occidentalis (night parrot), 3621 nucleotides. RefSeq lists it as uncharacterized. The record is from RefSeq and is a predicted model, not a curated record. NCBI's taxonomy places the organism in Eukaryota, Metazoa, Chordata, Aves, Psittaciformes, Psittacidae. The transcript has 3 exons.